AGGGCACCACCAGGAGUGGAGCCUGCGGCUUAAUUUGACUCAACACGGGGAAACUCACCCGGCCCGGACACCGUAAGGAUUGACAGAUUGAUAGCUUUUUCAUGAUUCGGUGGAUGGUGGUGCAUGGCCGCUCUUAGUUCGUGGAGCGAUUUGUCUGGUUUAUUCCGAUAACGAGCGAGACUCUAGCCUACUAAAUAGUUCGCACAUUGUCUCCGGGUGUGUGACUUCUUAGAGGGAUUUUCGGUGUUCAGCCGCACGAAAUUGAGCAAUAACAGGUCUGUGAUGCCCUUAGAUGUCCGGGGCUGCACGCGCGCUACACUGGCAAAAUCAGCGUGCUUGUCCUUCCCCGAAGGGGGUCGGUAAACCCUUGAAAAUUUGCCGUGAUUGGGAUUGGAGAUUGCAAUUAUUUUCCAUGAACGAGGAAUUCCAAGUAGGUGCGAGUCAUCAUCUCGCGUUGAUUACGUCCCUGCCCUUUGUACACACCGCCCGUCGCUACUACCGAUUGGAAGUAGACGAGAG
This 519-nucleotide ribosomal RNA is filed under the name uncultured eukaryote. RNAcentral describes it as "SSU rRNA". It matches the Rfam family "Eukaryotic small subunit ribosomal RNA", at positions 1161 to 1705 of the family's 1831-position model. The record is from RNAcentral.